Long non-coding RNA from Chinchilla lanigera (long-tailed chinchilla), 1611 nucleotides. RefSeq lists it as uncharacterized. NCBI's taxonomy places the organism in Eukaryota, Metazoa, Chordata, Mammalia, Rodentia, Chinchillidae. The transcript has 3 exons. The record is from RefSeq and is a predicted model, not a curated record.
AUCCUUCCAGAACAUUCCAGAGUCCGCUUCUGUCAUGGACACUGGGGCAGGCACCCACCCCCACAUGUCCUCCAAGCCUGAAGGACAGGACUUACCCCCUCGGUCACCAAAUGGGCUGUCAGCAACCUGACAGUGCCCUGGGCCAUGCAGAGCCGAGGGCCCAGGGCCCAGCCUCAGCCAGGGAGCAGCGGGAGCUCAGAGUCUGGGCAACCUGAGGCCCAGCUCCCUCAUCCCGUUGCCAGGCAACACACAGGACGCUGUUAGUUUGCAUUUCAGUGCCGUCUGGACUUGGAGCAGUGGACCAUGAACUAAAAAGAGAACACCAAGGUCAUAAGCUGGGGACCUGCGUUUCAGAGGUAGAAGCCGAGGCACAGAGCAGUGAGACGACUGUUAGGUCCCUGGCAGGAAGUGGCAAAGCCAGGACUAACACUCAGGCGCCACCACAGCUACAUCCAAAGCUCCCAAAGGACCAGCAGCUUUCCAGAGCUCCGCUCUUCCAAAAGCCUGAGAAAAUGCUAGCGGCCUGACCUUCUGCACUCGGGCAACCUUUCUGCCUGUGGCUUAUGUCCUGGCCCAAACCAGCCUUAUUUCUGGGGCCGCGGUUCCAGAGCUGGUGUUCCCAGCCCCCACCCCAGGAGGAGUGCCCCCCCGGGCUGAUGAAUAACUCAGUGCGAUAGGAGAAGCCGACUCCGAGAAACCAACACCAGCAAAGAGCGCCUUGUGCCAGGUCAGUUCCAGCGUGGGCACAGUCAGGGGCACUGCAGGACGGUUCAAGGUGGGCUGGGGAUAGAGACAGACACUGCGGGGAAAGGACUGGAAACACGGAAAGCACAGCAGUCAGGAUGGAGCCACGAGCAAGAGGGAGAGAGGCAGAGCACGGUGAAGAGAAAGGCCGGGCAAGGCCAAAAGCACGGAGCGUUUGGCAAAGCAGAGGAAGGGUCAAGAAAGCUGAGGCUGUGGGUGAACGAAUGUGUAUCUCACCCCAGACGCGGCCAUGGCGACGCCGACGCUGAGGGACGGAAGAGACCGUCGGAGCCGGCUUGCUGAGGAAGAGUGUAGUCCCACUCGAGUGCACGGUCUUCUUAGCACUUCACACGCUGGGCAGGGGAGGAGCCAGGUCUGCAGCCAUGGAAAUGUCGUCCCCGCGGGCACUUAGCUGGUGGUGAUGUCCUUCAGCCCCAUGCUAUGUCACUUGGUGCAGGGUGGCUGGCCUCGAUGCCCCAGAGUUUGCAAGGCUGGUUCCAGAGUGCUGUUCACAUCCAGUGAGUUCUACAGAGUGAUCCUAGCGGGCGUGUGUGCUGGGUCUCUGGAUAGGAACUGGUAGAAACACAACUUAAACAGCUAAAGCCACAGGGAGAUUCUGGGCAGCAGGUUGAAGGCGCCGAGGUCGAAGGGUCAGUUGACAGCACAGCCAUAGGGGUCAGGGACAGAGGCCAAGGUCUUCGCUCCUGGAAGCAGAGACCUGUGAGCCUCACGGCUGCCCUGCCUCUCAGAUACCGUAUGCUGCAGAGACCCUGCUGGGCUGCAUGUGAGUUCAAGGUCAGCCUGGACUUCAUAGUUGGCAAUUAUGGGAGAGUUUAAAGAGCAGUGUGGGGAGCCUUAGGCAGGGAG